UACGGGGGGGGCAAGCGUUGUUCGGAAUUACUGGGCGUAAAGGGCUCGUAGGUGGCCAACUAAGUCAGACGUGAAAUCCCUCGGCUUAACCGGGGAACUGCAUCUGAUACUGGAUGGCUGGAGAUUGGGAGAGGGAUGCGGAAUUCCAGGUGUAGCAGUGAAAUGCGUAGAUAUCUGGAGGAACACCGGUGGCGAAGGCGGCAUCCUGGACCAACACUGACGCUGAGGAGCGAAAGCCAGGGGAGCAAACGGG
RNAcentral lists this ribosomal RNA (253 nucleotides) under uncultured bacterium. Its description in RNAcentral is "partial 16S ribosomal RNA". It matches the Rfam family "Bacterial small subunit ribosomal RNA", at positions 524 to 776 of the family's 1533-position model. The record is from RNAcentral.